This 305-nucleotide ribosomal RNA is filed under the name uncultured bacterium. RNAcentral's name for it is "bacterial SSU rRNA". It matches the Rfam family "Bacterial small subunit ribosomal RNA", at positions 337 to 658 of the family's 1533-position model. The record is from RNAcentral.
CCCUACGGGGGGCAGCAGUGGGGAAUCUUUCCCCCUUGUGUCCACCCUGAUGCAGCGACGCCGCGUGGGUGAAGAAGUAUUUCGGUAUGUAAAGCCCUAUCAGCAGGGAAGAAGAAUGACGGUACCGGACUAAGAAGCACCGGCUAAAUACGUGCCAGCAGCCGCGGUAAUACGUAUGGUGCAAGCGUUAUCCGGAUUUACUGGGUGUAAAGGGAGCGCAGGCGGCACGCUAAGCCUGAUGUGAAAACCCGCGGCCCAACCGCGGGAGUGCAUUGGGAACUGGCGAGCUAGAGUACCGGAGGGGC